This 440-nucleotide ribosomal RNA is filed under the name uncultured bacterium. RNAcentral describes it as "partial 16S ribosomal RNA". It matches the Rfam family "Bacterial small subunit ribosomal RNA", at positions 338 to 795 of the family's 1533-position model. The record is from RNAcentral.
CCUACGGGUGGCAGCAGUGGGGAAUAUUGCUCAAUGGGGGGAACCCUGAUGCAGCAACGCCGCGUGGAUGAUGAAGUACUUCGGUUUGUAAAGCCCUUUUGGUAGGGAAGAAAAUGACGGUACCUGACGAAUAAGCCCCGGCUAACUCCGUGCCAGCAGCCGCGGUAAUACGGAGGGGGCAAGCGUUAUCCGGAUUGACUGGGCGUAAAGCGCGCGUAGACGGGAUGGCAAGUCUGGAGUGAAAGCCCGUGGCGUAACCAUGGGACUGCGUUGGAAACUGUUGUGCUGGAGUGCGGGAGGGGUAGGCGGAAUUCGGGGUGUAGCGGUGAAAUGCGUAGAUAUGAAGAGGAACACCGAUGGCGAAGGCGGCUUGCUGGACCGUAACUGACGUUGAGGCGCGAAAGCGUGGGGAGCAAACAGGAUUAGAUACCCGAGUAGUC